RNAcentral lists this ribosomal RNA (450 nucleotides) under uncultured Glomeromycotina. RNAcentral describes it as "SSU rRNA". It matches the Rfam family "Eukaryotic small subunit ribosomal RNA", at positions 569 to 1023 of the family's 1831-position model. Lineage: Eukaryota; Fungi; Glomeromycota. The record is from RNAcentral.
AGCAGCCGCGGUAAUUCCAGCUCCAAUAGCGUAUAUUAAAGUUGUUGCAGUUAAGAAGCUCGUAGUUGAAUUUCGGGGUUAGCAGGUCGGUCGUGCCAUCGGUAUGAACUGGUCUCGCUGAUCCCUCCCUCUUGACGAACUGUGAUGCCAUUAAUUUGGUGUCGCAGGGAAUCAGGACUGUUACUUUGAAAAAAUUAGAGUGUUUAAAGCAGGCUCACGCUUGAAUACAUUAGCAUGGAAUAAUGAAAUAGGACGUUUGAUCCUAUUUUGUUGGUUUCUAGGAUUGACGUAAUGAUUAAUAGGGAUAGUUGGGGGCAUUAGUAUUCAAUUGUCAGAGGUGAAAUUCUUGGAUUUAUUGAAGACUAACUACUGCGAAAGCAUUUGCCAAGGAUGUUUUCAUUAAUCAAGAACGAAAGUUAGGGGAUCGAAGACGAUCAGAUACCGUCGUAG